CAAAUUUCACUCGAAGUCUUCGCCUGUUAUUUGUACUUUAAAGGGGAAGAUACGACGAAGGUUAAGGUAUGUUCUAUCAUUUUGAUGUGAAAUGUUGAUAUUUUAGCGAGUUAAAGUGGUUAAAACUACUUGUCGAAGUUGACAACCGCAAGUCACUUCACGUUCGAUGUUCGUUUUGUUAUGGCAUAUUACCGAGCAUAUUACUGAAUUAUACCUUACGUUUCGUGAAGUUUAGUUUAAAUUAGUAGAGAGAAGAGUGCAUUAAGUAUUUAGGGUAUUUUGGAGCUAAAUGUGUUUUAAAAUUUGUCAUUUUAGCGAAAACAAGAAAUGUUGAAGUUGUCCAGAAUGUCGUCCCGGCCAUGUGCUUGCUGCGAAGAGACUCGGACAUCGGACAUUGUAGUGAAUGGUUGACAAUGUGUGUCGCUGGCAAACCUACAACUCCCACUGUACUAGGCAGUCAAGUAUUUUUAACCUGCACAUUUUUGUUUUUAUUUCCCCAAAUUUAUUUUAUGUUCAUAAAUAUCAUGAGUCAUGCAUGACUUUAAAGCUGGAAGGAGUUGAGAUUCCCCACUCAACUGCAUGCCUUCUGAACAUUAGGCCACAUAAAAAAUAGUUGGUUAGCGUCCUUAGCUUUUGCCAAAAAGUGGGUGGGUGGGCGGUUUUAAAAUUUUUACUAAUUUUUUAACGCCUUGGUUUUAGGCCCGAAACUGGAUUUUCAUGCGCAGCACAGAUAUUUUUUAUAUAUUUCAAAAUAUGAUUCAUACCGUCAUUUUUGCACGCAAUUUUGCCACUUAUUAACACAAUUGACUACAGUCAACAGAAAUACUACCUAUAUUAGAACCUGUUGAUCAAUAAAAGUUGGGUUUUUUAAAAAUAAAAAAUAAAAAAAAAUCCUGAGCGGGGCCUUUUUUGUGGGCGGGCGAAGAUGCUAACCAACUAUUUUUUUAUGUGGCCUUAGACUCCAUUUUACAUGCUACCAUUUCACCAGUAAGAAAUUUUUUGAAAAUUUUGAGAUUUGAAAGCUGUUUGCAUGGGCAGUGCCAUUUCAGUUUUAUUAUUUUUCCAAGGUCUCUGUGAGACUUCCAAUCAUUCAGCAUGAACAAAAGCAAUACAUGUAAAAAGAAAGGCGCCACUUUUUGGGUGUACUGUUUUUCUGUGUUGAAUGGCUGGAAGUGCUGCAGGUAUCAUGGGAUAUCUAAUAAAGUUGUGAUGUUAUUUCGGUGCUGUUUCUAUAAAGGGCAGCUUGCUAUGGCUAUAUGCCUUAGCCUAAAAAAAAUUCAAUUAUUUUUCAAAUAAAACAUUUUGGG
Non-coding RNA from Paramuricea clavata, 1307 nucleotides. Lineage: Eukaryota; Metazoa; Cnidaria; Anthozoa; Malacalcyonacea; Plexauridae. The record is from the annotation of a GenBank genome assembly.